CAGGAAAAUCGGUCUGUUGAUUUCCGAUUUUUUCGGGAGUAGGAAAGUCCGGACACCGUAGAGCAGCAUAGCGGAUAACAUCCGUCGGUCGCAAGAUUAGGACAAGUGCAACAGAAAGCAAGUACAGUUUGGCUGUAGUGAAACCAGGUAAACUCUAUGCGGUGCAAUGCUAAGUAUAUCAUCAGUUAAGGGCGGCUCGUCCGUUGAUGAGGGGUAAGCAGCUAAAGUUUUGUAGCAAUGUAAAACGCAGAUAAAUAACAGACACCCCGAUUUAUCGGGAUACAGAAUCCGGCUUAUAGAUUUUCCUGUUUU
This 312-nucleotide RNase P RNA is filed under the name Cruoricaptor ignavus. RNAcentral's name for it is "RNase P RNA component class A". It matches the Rfam family "Bacterial RNase P class A". From Rfam's summary of the family: Ribonuclease P (RNase P) is a ubiquitous endoribonuclease, found in archaea, bacteria and eukarya as well as chloroplasts and mitochondria. Its best characterised activity is the generation of mature 5'-ends of tRNAs by cleaving the 5'-leader elements of precursor-tRNAs. The record is from RNAcentral. Lineage: Bacteria; Pseudomonadati; Bacteroidota; Flavobacteriia; Flavobacteriales; Weeksellaceae.